GAGGCAGCAUCCUCGUGAGGUCACAAUGGCCAGGUGAGGGUCAGAAAAAACCAGAUCACAGCAGGUUGUGUGUGCAGAUGGUAGGUGCAAGUGUGGCCUGGCACCCCAAAUUCAAUGGCCAAGAAUUGAUGAGUCAGAAAUAAGGAACAAAGAACCUUUGAAGAAACAUGGUUCCAAGAAUUCCUGGCAGUCUCAACCCUAGUUGUAAAGAUUACAGUGAAGACCAUCUAGACAAAGUUACAAUGAUAUUUGUGUGUGGGAAAAGACUGGAGAAGAAAAAGUCUAGCAUAUAGGGGGGAGGGCAGAAAACCCUCUGAAGUAGAUAUUGGAAAAUGUGGAAAAUACAGCUGAUGAUGCGCAAAUUCAUAUGGAUCUGAAAAAAUAAACACUGACUUUUCAACAAAAAUCCGCUCUGCCUCAACCUCACCUUUUCUUUAAACUGCUAUUGCUGAUAGACCAGCCUUAGGGUAAGGUUGAGUUCACGCAAUCAGUUCUAAUGACAGCAAGCACUUGGUGGGUUUCUCCCAACUUGCCUGCCACUGUGAGGUUAUUGUCACAACUGAUAGGAGAGGUGAUCCUUGACAGCUAAUCUGUACUUGCUUAAACCAUCUUAUAGCUAUUCUUCUGCUUUACCUCUAUUUCUCUUGCAAGGGUGUGAACCGAUAUGGGUUUGAUAUUUGGAUGCUAAGGGACCUUACUAUGCAUCGAUCUGGUAUUGCACAACCUCCAGGAAUGGUGGAAAAGGGAAGAAGUACAGCUUUGGGCCUCUGCCCAGCUGGAAUCUUUCAACAUGGUCACCCAGUGAGACCCUGGAUAGUUGACUUGCACCAUGCCAGGACUCAACUCUGGGGGAUUCCCAUGGAAGGAGUUUGGGCACGUCCCAAUCAUGACAGAGUGUCAUUCCAACAGCAAGGGCUGAGUGGAAUGAGGAACUGGAUCCUUGCCCUACUGCCAUGGCAACCCAACUUUCUGCUGUAGUUAAUCAAGUUUUGGCUUGGUUUUACCCAA
Podarcis raffonei (Aeolian wall lizard) is the source of this 1008-nucleotide long non-coding RNA. RefSeq lists it as uncharacterized. The transcript is spliced from 2 exons. NCBI's taxonomy places the organism in Eukaryota, Metazoa, Chordata, Lepidosauria, Squamata, Lacertidae. The record is from RefSeq and is a predicted model, not a curated record.